RNAcentral lists this transfer RNA (105 nucleotides) under Microcaldota archaeon. RNAcentral's name for it is "Candidatus Micrarchaeota archaeon (hot springs metagenome) tRNA-Val". Lineage: Archaea; Nanobdellati; Microcaldota. The record is from RNAcentral.
GGGCCCAUAGUCGAGAGGUUAAGACGCCGCUCUCACACAGCGGAGAACCCAGGUUCGAAGAGCCUUUUUGCUGGCGGAAAAGGCCCGAAAAUCCUGGUGGGCCCA